ACUAAUUCUAGCCCAAACAACUGUACAUCUAAUUACACUCUACUAUAAAAUAAAACAUUCAUCAUAAAAGUAUUGGAGAAAGAAAUUAGCACUAGGAGCAAUAGAAAAAGUACCGUAAGGGAAAGAUGAAAGAUCUAAUUAUAAGUAAAAAUAAGCAAAGAUUAAACCUUGUACCUUUUGCAUAAUGAAUUAACUAGAAAUAAGCUAACUAAAAGAAUUAAAGCUAGAAACCCCGAAACCAAACGAGCUACCUAAAAACAAUCUUGCGAAUCAACCCGUCUAUGUAGCAAAAUAGUGGGAAGAUUUUUAGGUAGAGGUGAAAAGCCUAACGAGCUUGGUGAUAGCUGGUUACCCAAAAAAUGAAUUUUAGUUCAACUUUAAAUUUACCUCAAGAACUUUAAAUCCAAACGUAAACUUAAAUUAUAGCCAAAAGAGGGACAGCUCUUUAGGAACGGAGAAAACCUUAAAUAGUGAAUAAAUAACAACUAUAUGAAUCCCCAUAUAACCAUUGUAGGCCUAAAAGCAGCCAUCAACAAAGAAAGCGUUCAAGCUCAACAUAAAAACCAAAUUAUCCUUAAAUUCUACAUAACUUCCUAAACUACAAAUUGGGUUAUUCUAUAACUUUAUAGAAGAAAUACUGUUGAUAUGAGUAACAAGAAUAAGUUCUCCAAGCACAAGCGUAUAACAACCCGGAUAACCAUUGUUAGUUAUAUACAAGUCGCAGACAACAAUCACAAAAUAAAUUUAUCUAAAACUAAUUUGUUAACCCAACACAGGAGUGCUUUGAGGAAAGAUUAACAAAAAUAAAAGGAACUCGGCAAACCAGAACCCCGCCUGUUUACCAAAAACAUCACCUCUAGCAUUUCAAGUAUUAGAGGCACUGCCUGCCCAGUGACUAAAGUUAAACGGCCGCGGUAUCCUGACCGUGCAAAGGUAGCAUAAUCACUUGUUCCUUAAUUAGGGACUUGCAUGAAUGGCUAAACGAGGGUUCAACUGUCUCUUAUUUUUAAUCAGUGAAAUUGACCUUCCAGUGAAGAGGCUGGAAUAACUUAAUAAGACGAGAAGACCCUAUGGAGCUUAAAUUAACAAACUUAUCUAUAUUAUAUCUCACCUAAUGGAGUAAAAACAAUACUAUAAGUUUAAAAUUUUGGUUGGGGUGACCUCGGAGAACAAAAAAUCCUCCGAACGAUUAUAACAUAGACUCACAAGUCAAAGUAACUAAAAUUCCAAUUGACCCAAAACAAUUUGAUCAACGGACCAAGUUACCCUAGGGAUAACAGCGCAAUCCCAUUUAAGAGUUCAUAUCGACAAUGGGGUUUACGACCUCGAUGUUGGAUCAGGACAUCCCAAUGGUGCAGAAGCUAUUAAUGGUUCGUUUGUUCAACGAUUAAAGUCCUACGUGAUCUGAGUUCAGACCGGAGAAAUCCAGGUCGGUUUCUAUCUAUUAACAAUUUCUCCCAGUACGAAAGGAUAAGAGAAAUAGAGCCCCCUUCACAAAAGCGCUCUCAACCAAAUUUAUGAAGAUAAUCUAAAUAAUUUAUCUAUGUAAAAAUUACACCUAGACCAGGUU
RNAcentral lists this ribosomal RNA (1570 nucleotides) under Myomyscus sp. VVB-2020. Its description in RNAcentral is "16S ribosomal RNA". It matches the Rfam family "Bacterial large subunit ribosomal RNA". The record is from RNAcentral. Lineage: Eukaryota; Metazoa; Chordata; Mammalia; Rodentia; Muridae.